GAUAAAAUGGCUGAGCUUAGGCAGUAAAUUGUAAAUUUACUUACGAAUUAAAUUCUUUUAUCA
RNAcentral lists this transfer RNA (63 nucleotides) under Tillus nitidus. RNAcentral's name for it is "tRNA-Tyr". Lineage: Eukaryota; Metazoa; Arthropoda; Insecta; Coleoptera; Cleridae. The record is from RNAcentral.